Molecule: ribosomal RNA, 253 nt
Filed under: uncultured bacterium
Lineage: Bacteria
Description: partial 16S ribosomal RNA
Rfam family: Bacterial small subunit ribosomal RNA
Source: RNAcentral
UACGUAGGGGGCAAGCGUUGUCCGGAUUUACUGGGCGUAAAGCGCACGUAGGCGGAUUGUUAAGUCAGGGGUGAAAUCCUGGAGCUCAACUCCAGAACUGCCUUUGAUACUGGCAAUCUAGAGUCCGGAAGAGGUAAGUGGAACUCCUAGUGUAGAGGUGGAAUUCGUAGAUAUUAGGAAGAACACCAGUGGCGAAGGCGGCUUACUGGUCCGGUACUGACGCUGAGGUGCGAAAGCGUGGGGAGCAAACAGG